ACUGCCUGAGAGAGAGCACUCAAUAAAUCACACACACACACACACACACACACACACAUAUACAUCUGCAUGAGUUGGGGCCCAAAAUUAUGUGUGUUUGAAUUUUUAACCCGCAUUUUCGGCUAGUUUAUUCAACAAAUUGCAAAAUAAACCCGUCGAAUUUAACAUUAAAUGCAGUUGCAGGCGUCGGACAAAAGGAGCGUCGAAAAAAAUCAAGACAAAAACUGGCAAAAAGUAUGAAACAAAAGAAAAAUUGCGGCGAGGCGAGUGCGAAUAAUUACUAUGGCCAUAUAACUGCAUUGGCAGGCUAGUCCGCAAAAAACCGGGCACCGCAGACGUAUGGCUGCCAAAAAAGUCGAAAUGAAAAACAAUAACGAAUGUCCUUCCAUGCGGCGGCUGCGGUAAAUGCUGACAGUGUCCUGCGUCCAGCGAGUUCUACAGUUGCAGUGGUCGCCGUUUCUGGCUGCUGUGAAGCCCCAAUGAUCGAUGUCGUAUUGUCAGUUUCAUAAAAAUUCAAACAGCUCGGCCAGCUCGGCCAGCUCGGCUCAACUGCAUCAGCAGCAGAAGCACCAGCAGCAGGAGCAGGACAUCGAGGACAUUCGGGACAGUUUUGCCCCCCAACUGGGCGGAAAAUGCUUUUGUCAAAAGGCUUAAACUGCCAGUCGCGAGGCGGGCAGCCCUUUGACCUCGCCCUGGGUCCCAUCAUCUCCAUUUCCUUGCUUUAUUGUUUGCCAUUGAUGCCCAGCUGCCGAACAGGACAACAACGUGCGGAAAAAGCAAAAGGAUCCAGUGCUGUAAAAUGCAAUAAAUUAAACAAUAUCUGCGCCAAAUUGCUGCCGCAUUCGAUAGGUGCGAGUGGCGGGGUUUUGCAGGAAUUCCACUGAUGCGUUUGGCAUUUAACAAUUUUUAUGCGGCCCGAGACUGCUUGCUUCUUUUUAUUUUUUAAUCCCCCCUAUUUUUGUGGACUGUUUUUUUUUUUUUUUUUUGUUUUGCGGUUUUAAGCCCGUCCACGCCCACACUUUGCGAACAUCCCAUGUCCAGCGCCGCUAUCUGGGCCAAUAAGUUGUGGCCAGCCAUUCCUCAUACGCAGUGGGGUGCCAGUGGCGAGAAAUGCAGCUCUUGGACACACGGACAGAACAUGGCUAACAGGGAUCAGAGCCGCAGGUCCUGGGGAAACCGCAAGGCGAAGCCAUUUAAUUGAAUCAAAGACAAAGCUGCGACAAUGAAAUGCCAAGGGAAUGCGCUGCGGAAAUGCCAAUCGAAUUCAGCAAAUAUUCAGUUAAAUAUUUUAAAGAACCAUUUAACUUUACUAAGUGAUGCUCUACUCAUAUUUUUAACCAACUUGGUAACUAUUUCCUUGUAUUUAAAAACUACUUCAUUGCAAUUGGAAUACUUGGAAA
Molecule: non-coding RNA, 1400 nt
Organism: Drosophila melanogaster (fruit fly)
Lineage: Eukaryota; Metazoa; Arthropoda; Insecta; Diptera; Drosophilidae
Source: Ensembl